RNAcentral lists this ribosomal RNA (203 nucleotides) under uncultured bacterium. RNAcentral describes it as "partial 16S ribosomal RNA". It matches the Rfam family "Bacterial small subunit ribosomal RNA", at positions 524 to 726 of the family's 1533-position model. The record is from RNAcentral.
UACAGAGGUCUCAAGCGUUGCUCGGAUUCAUUGGGCGUAAAGGGUGCGUAGGCGGCGCGGUAAGUCGGGUGUGAAAUCUCGGAGCUUAACUCCGAAACUGCAUUCGAUACUGCCGUGCUUGAGGACUGGAGAGGAGACUGGAAUUUACGGUGUAGCGGUGAAAUGCGUAGAUAUCGUAAGGAAGACCAGUGGCGAAGGCGGGU